This 212-nucleotide unclassified non-coding RNA is filed under the name Hevea brasiliensis (rubber tree). Lineage: Eukaryota; Viridiplantae; Streptophyta; Magnoliopsida; Malpighiales; Euphorbiaceae. The record is from RNAcentral.
CGCGGCAGGGCACGAAACAGCACCAUCUCCAGCAGUUCGUAGUCGCUGAGCGCAUCGGCGCCCGCCUCGCGGAAUCGAUCGCGCAGCCGCUCGCGAUGGCCAUGAUAGUGCGGCGCUUCGGAGAAGCCGGAUGACGAGGAUGGGUCGUCGGAUUUUGCGGGCAUGGCGGAAUGCGUGCUCAAGUAUGCUGCGAGCAGCGCCGCGCCCGGCUG